GGUGGAAAGUGGCGCACGGGUGAGUAACGCGUAGGAAUUUACCCAGCAGUACGGAAUAACCAUCGGAAACGGUGGCUAAUACCGAAUACGCCCUCCGGGGGAAAGAUUUAUCGCUGUUGGAUGAGCCUGCGUCGGAUUAGCUUGUUGGUGAGGUAAAAGCUCACCAAGGCGACGAUCUUUAGCUGGUCUGAGAGGAUGAUCAGCAACACUGGGACUGAGACACGGCCCAGACUCC
This 235-nucleotide ribosomal RNA is filed under the name uncultured bacterium. Its description in RNAcentral is "partial 16S ribosomal RNA". It matches the Rfam family "Bacterial small subunit ribosomal RNA", at positions 87 to 339 of the family's 1533-position model. The record is from RNAcentral.